RNAcentral lists this ribosomal RNA (495 nucleotides) under uncultured bacterium. Its description in RNAcentral is "partial 16S ribosomal RNA". It matches the Rfam family "Bacterial small subunit ribosomal RNA", at positions 28 to 505 of the family's 1533-position model. The record is from RNAcentral.
GAUGAACGCUGGCGGCGUGCCUAAUACAUGCAAGUCGAGCGAACAGACGAGGAGCUUGCUCCUCUGACGUUAGCGGCGGACGGGUGAGUAACACGUGGAUAACCUACCUAUAAGACUGGGAUAACUUCGGGAAACCGGAGCUAAUACCGGAUAAUAUAUUGAACCGCAUGGUUCAAUAGUGAAAGACGGUUUUGCUGUCACUUAUAGAUGGAUCCGCGCCGCAUUAGCUAGUUGGUAAGGUAACGGCUUACCAAGGCAACGAUGCGUAGCCGACCUGAGAGGGAGAUGGGCCACAGUGACACAGACACGCGGCCCAGACCCAUGCGAGAGGCAGGAGUGGAGAAUCUUCCGAAGUGGGCAAACGCUUGACAGAGCAACCCCGCGUGAGUGAAAAAGGUCCUCAGAGCGAAAAACUCUGUUAUGGGGGAAAAACAAAUGUGUAAGUAACUAGCCACGUCUACACGGUCCAUAAAAAGAGAGCCAGGUAUAACCACG